AAAGCCCAAAUUAGAUUAUAGAUUCCAGAAAACUCCCAAAGAGAGAAACACUCCUCUUCCACGACUCCGCUCCUCCUCAAGCAUGAUUUUGCCAACGCUGCUCCACCUUGUAACUCUACGAUUUUGGACGAAUUUAUGUUCUGUCUUUGUUUUUGUUUUUUUUAAUUUUUUUCACUCUAAUAUAGUCAGAUUUAUAGUGGAAGGACUUGAAUCUGCUGUUCGAAAUUCAAAAUUGGACGAGGGAAAACAUUGGGCCAUGGAACAAUCUUCAAAUUAAUUUCAAGCCUUAUAAAUCGAAGGUAAACUUUGAUUCUUAGCAUUAGGGUAGCAGAUAGUAACUGUUGUGUUGAGUAACAAUUUCAUGUUAGGAAAAUGCAUAAAGCUCGUUCCACAUUGUCAAAAUAAUGCUUUCCCAUCUAGGUUGCGUAGCUUUGCAUUCAAUCCAAAUUUUGUAACUUUUGCAUUGUAAUUCUGUUAUGCGUUGUGCCUUGAUUCUGGAUAAUUUAUGGAUCUUUACUGUAAAUUUCGAAGUAUUUUUUUUUUCCAUUUUAAUAUGCAUAAAAAAAGGCACUUAGUGCGCAUUUGGAAAACUUAAUUAGGCUAUAGAUUAAAUUGUAUGGAGGAUAAAAUCUGUCAAAUCCUGCUUUUGAUGUAAAUUGUAUAUGAAUUAUUAUCAGUCACUGGUACAGUUUCAGCCUAAAAAACAUAAAAUAAGAGGCGGGGUUCAAAAAAUUUCUAUUUGUGGCUUUUUUGAGUGAUUUUUGUAAAACAUGAUGAUCGUGUUUAUGGAUUCAACUCCUUGGCUAGUCACAUAUACAAGAUGCUAUGAAAAUUUAGCCUCCAAUUGAUCUGCAAAAUAAUCCAGUCACAUUCUUGUUACGCAAAUAAUAGCUAGGGAAAUGGAUGAAGAAGAACUACCAGACAGAAGCAGAAGAACAAACCAAAGAAAGGGGAAGAAGAAGGAACCAAGUACCAACGGACUUAAUGGACUUUUGAAAGGAAACGGUGUUGUUUGGUAUUAAAUGAAACUUUGUCGUUUUAUUCCAAUAAUUGUUGUAUCAUAAAUUCCUUAUUUCAGCUGGAGUAAAUUCUAGUGUAGGUUUAUGCGAAAUUGUGUUUGCGAGUUGCAGUUCAGCUCGUGGCAGAUGGUAUCAGAGUAGGCAUAUUAUACUUAGCAAACAAUAAUCAUGGAUACAAGGUCGAAGGCGGUUGAUGAGCACUAGAAGAAAUUGGAUCUGAAGAUUUCUCAUUUGGGUAAUUCCUUUAAAGCUGUUAACAACAGGCUGAAGAACAAGUUGGCUUCCACUGAUCAAUCUCUCCAGAUAAGUGGGCAUAGACAGGAAAAACUUGAAGCUACACUGUUAGAUAUGAAUCAUAAAAAUGAAAAUUUAGUGACCAUGUUGACCCAGUUGUCUUUAGAUAUCAAAAUGGGGCAGAAAAACAAAGGAGUGGAAGAAACUCUGGUCAAGGUGAAUUCUGAGGGUGUAAUAUCUAUCUUAGGAGCUAGUAACACUGAAAGUAGUAUUUAUACUAUAGGGGACUUUAAGGGAAAUAAUAGGCUGCCUAAGUUUGAUUUUCCACACUUUGGGGGAGAACCUAAGGAAUGGCUUAGAAAAGCAAGGGAGUAUUUCCAACUUCGUCAGAUCCCACAUGAAUUGAGAUUGGGUAUUGCUGAAAUGUAUUUGAAAGGUAAAGCAGAUUUGUUUUGCCAGAAUUUCACUGUAAUUGUUGAUUUUAUCAACAACUUUUCUCCAUCUUCUCUUAUUCAUUUAACAUCAUUUAUCCUAUCUCCAUCAUAUUUUCUUUUAAUUUGGUUACAAUUUCAGCUCAUUCUGCCGUGAGAAUUUCACAGUUGAUCUGUUGGAAACUUGAGGUUGAAAAUUGAAAUUCAGUUCAUGACAAAAUGGUAUCAAAGCCAGAUUUCCUUGCGAGACAACCUAAUGUAGAUUGGGGAAUCUUCAAUUAAGAAUUGUGUAAGAGGUUUGAUGAGAAUACUGAAAUUAUUGAGGAAGUAGGAGGAAAGGAAAUCUGAAUCACAUAAAGAGGAAGUUUUUGAGAUUUCUAUCAAUGCUUUGGAAGGAAUUCCAGGGCAUAAAACUAUCAAAAUUCCUGGAAUUUUAAAGGGGAGGAGGAUAUCUAUUCUAAUAGAUAGUGGAAGCACACAUAGCUUCCUAGAUGAGAGACUGGCUAAGGAGCUGAACUACACUACUGAGGAAACCAUAACCAUGACAAUGAGAGUGGCUAAUGGUGAAAAGCCGGAGGGUAAAGCUUUGAAUCAACCACUGGUUUGUAAGGUGCAUAACUGGGAGUUCCGGUAUAAUUUGAGAUCUCUGAAGUUAGGAGGUAGUGCUAUGGUAUUGAGGGUGAACUGGAUGAGUCAGCCUCAUAAAAUUUGACUUUAUCCUAGGAUAUGAGAAGUUCAAACACCAGCAGAAAGAGGUUAUCUUGAGGAGUGAAGGAUCAGAACCAGGGGUUAAAAUGAUGGAAGUUGAGGAAAUGGAGAAUUUGUUUAGAAGGUACCAUUAUGGACUGGCUGGCCAUUUGUACAAUAUUGUGGAGAAAGGGAAAGAAGAAAUUCCAUGCCAAAUCACUGAGGCUAUUAGCCAAUAUACAGAGGUAUUUGAAGAACCAACAGGGUUGCCAUCUCCUAGAUCUCAUGACCAUCAUAUUCUGUUAAAAGAGAUAGCAUAACCAUUCAAAAUUAGGACUUAUAAAUGCCUUUCUAUUCAGAAAAUAGAAAUAGGAAGGCUAGUGGUGGAGAUCGAAAAUACAAAUUAAAUCAACAGUUAAAGGAGAACCUUUCACAGGCAAGUGCAAGGACGAAGCUUUAUGCUGAUAGAAAGAGACCAGAAAGGCCAUUUGUUGAAGGUAAAUGGGUAUUCCUUAAAACUCCUUCCAUACAGGCACCAAUCAGUAGAGCACAGGCAGAACUACGAGCUGGGCGCAAGUUAUUUUGGUCCUCACCAGAUUAUCAAGGAAAUAGGGACAGUAGCAUAUCAGUUGGCACUACGUGAAGGUUCAAAAUUCCAUCCAAUUUUCUAUGUGUCGUUGUUGAAAAGGAAGUUAGGUGAUAAACAUAUGCCGGUACUAUAUUUGCUUAUUAAUAGUUAUUCCCAACAGGUAGAACAUUAACCACACUCCAUCUUACAGUCAAGGAUGGUAGAGAGUCGGAUCCGCACAGCAAGGCGAUGAUUGAUUCAUUGGUCAGAUCUUCCUCCUGACAGUGCAACUUGGGAGAAUGUGGAACGGGUUGAAGUUAAAUUUCCCAAUUGUAGAUCUUAGGGGCAAGAUCAAAGUGAGGGGGAGGGUUGUUACGUGAAGAGUAGCUAGGGAAAUAGAGGAAGAGGAACUACCAGACAGAAGCAGAAGAAGAAGCCAGAGAAAGGGGAAAAAGAAGGAACCAAUGGACUUUUAAAUGGAAACGGUGUCGUUUGGUCCUAAAUGGAACUGUGUUAUUUUAUUCCAAUAAUCUUGUUAUUUGUUAGAAAUCGUCUUUUACUUUUGGGGUUUGGAAAGCACAACUUUAUAUAUAUAUAGCCAUGUGCGAAGAGGGAAAGACUGAUUUUUCUGCCAAAUUGGUUGUUAAUUGAAGUGAUUCAAUUCAGUCCUCUCCUUCUCAUUCUUAUUUUACAUCAUUUAAUCCGUCCCCCAUCAUCUUUUACUUUGAAUUUAGUAUCAUAAAUUCCUUAAUUCAGCUGGAGUAAAUUCCAGUGUUGGUUUGUCUGAAUCUUUGUUUGCGAGUUGUAGUUCAGCUCGUGACAAUUCUAUCAUUCAAAGGCUUGAUUAACGGUAUUUAACAACCUCCAUUAGCAAAGGCAGCUAACAUGUGCUACAGCUUCCAGUCACAACCAUGCGUCCUUCGCAUGCUAAAGCCUUCAUUAGCUGCUGUUGCCACAACUGUUGGCUACUAUAGCCUCUGGUCAUCAUCGUUGAGGUUGUCACAGCAUGUUUAAGGUCAUCAAAUGCUCCAAUUGAGGCAAUCACUGGAUGAUCCAUCUAGUCCUGUGAAUGGGCUGAAGUGAUUCCAAUUUGAUCGCCUUUAUUGAGCACAAUUUUGUUAAUGGAGGGACAAUUUCCAAUUAGGCUACAAGUUAGUCUUUUCUUUAUUUGAACGACGAAAGUGCACACUUUGGCAACAACUCGGAUGCAGUAAGAUGGAUAAUAGACAGCAAGGAAACAUUGUAGUCACCAUUAAGAGCUAAUUUUACAUUUUGUUUGUGAAUUACAAAUCUGGUGGCUACGUGGCUACCAUGGUCUGAAUAUUAAUGAGGUUGAUCAAGUUCUCUUGAACUUAAUCAAAUUACUUGAUAAUCAUGAAGUCCAUAGGUAAUUUCUCUAACACACAGUGAUUUAAAGAUCUUCAAAAGGGUUCCUUAUGAGUUCUUUUGAUUUAUUUUGCCAGGAUCUGUUGUGAUGUAUGCUAGAAGUGGUUCCAUUGCAAGUUUGUGAAGAUUACACCAGCUAGAGCCGAGCAUAUUAAGCAAUACAAGUGUCCUUUAUGCAGUAACAAGAGAGCCAGUGCUUGAUGUGAAACAUUAUUAUCUGUACUCUUGAUAACCAUCCAAGUCUUUGUUUUGUUCAUUUCUUGUUUGAGUAUAAUGUGGAGAAUUAACCUAUGAAUAGAACUCUUAUUGGGCAGUCUUGCAAUUGGUAUAGGUUGUCUUGUUAUGUUCCCUGUUUUAUUGACUCUGUUCAUGGACCAUUACAUUCUCUUGUAGAGUUUUCAGUUUUUCUUUUGAUGAUAUGAUAAGAAGCACAUUUAAAUCACCCAUAA
This 4774-nucleotide long non-coding RNA is filed under the name Olea europaea subsp. europaea. Lineage: Eukaryota; Viridiplantae; Streptophyta; Magnoliopsida; Lamiales; Oleaceae. The record is from RNAcentral.